RNAcentral lists this ribosomal RNA (478 nucleotides) under uncultured bacterium. RNAcentral's name for it is "bacterial SSU rRNA". It matches the Rfam family "Bacterial small subunit ribosomal RNA", at positions 28 to 533 of the family's 1533-position model. The record is from RNAcentral.
GAUGAACGCUGGCGGCGUGCCUAACACAUGCAAGUCGAGCGAUUCUCUUCGGAGAAGAGCGGCGGACGGGUGAGUAACGCGUGGGUAACCUGCCCUGUACACACGGAUAACAUACCGAAAGGUAUGCUAAUACGAGAUAAUAUGCUUUUAUCGCAUGGUAGAAGUAUCAAAGCUCUGGCGGUACAGGAUGGACCCGCGUCUGAUUAGCUAGUUGGUAAGGUAACGGCUUACCAAGGCGACGAUCAGUAGCCGACCUGAGAGGGUGAUCGGCCACAUUGGAACUGAGACACGGUCCAAACUCCUACGGGAGGCAGCAGUGGGGAAUAUUGCACAAUGGGCGAAAGCCUGAUGCAGCAACGCCGCGUGAGCGAUGAAGGCCUUAGGGUUGUAAAGUCCUUUCGCUGGGGAAGAUAAUGACUGUACCCAGUAAAGAAGCCCCGGCUAACUCCGUGCCAGCAGCCGCGGUAAAGUACAGUGU